RNAcentral lists this long non-coding RNA (610 nucleotides) under Rhinopithecus bieti (black snub-nosed monkey). RNAcentral's name for it is "lncRNA (ENSRBIG00000046391.1)". Lineage: Eukaryota; Metazoa; Chordata; Mammalia; Primates; Cercopithecidae. The record is from RNAcentral.
GUAAGAUUGGACUGAGGAAUGUGGAGGAGGGCUGUGAUGAGGUGUGGGAUGGGAAAGUCAUCAUCAGAUGCGUGGAGCUGGCAUAUCCUAGGCCAAUAGACAAGAUUAGGCAGAUUCCCAGCACCUGAUGAAUGGCCAGCUACAAUCAGAAUUACGAUUCUUCCCCGAAGAGCGGCCUAUGAUUUGUUUGGCAGAAGACUCAGAAUCGUGAUGAUGAUGAUUUGCACCGGCCUUUAGAAUGAUCACCCUGGGAUGUACAUGAAGAAUUGAUAAGGUCCUACGUUAGGACAGUUGCUGUGGGAAUGAAGAAGGAGGGAUGGAAUUGAGAGAUGUUUGAGAUCUAGAACAAACAGAACUUGACAACUGAAGAAAUGUGGGAAAUCACUUUCACUGCAGUCUGGAAAAUGGAGGGCAGGAGAGGCUACAGCCCUGGGGAAGGGGUGGUGAUGAGUCAGCUAUGAACCAGCCUCUCUGCCGUGCACCGGGAAUGUGCCAGGAGCCACUGUGCUUGAUAUUGUGGGACCUCUUAGUCACUUUUGCUACUCCUGGGAGGAUGACGGUCUUCUGUUGGGAACUGCCUUUGCUGAAUUACCGGAGCCCCAUAGGUGCU